UGYUCAUCAACGUGCGGCCGAGGUGUCAACAAAUUCCAUGUGUCGCCAUCUGUGGCGUCGCAUGAGUUGCAUUUGGAUGUUUGNUGGUUCUCACGGAUAUGGUGCCUAUUGGGAGGUUUACGGGCUUCUAGCUUUGUAGACCUUGCGAGGUUGCCCUUGCACAGUUCAUAGCUCCCGAUGUGUCUCAGUCAUGUCGUGGUUUCUACGUCAUGCUGGGAGCCCUCUUACACAGAGCUUGACUAUGUGCUUGUGGCGUAUCUGUGGCGUCGCAUGAGUUGCGAUUGCCGGUUUUUGUUGUCAUAAGG
Molecule: unclassified non-coding RNA, 305 nt
Filed under: Cyperus debilissimus
Lineage: Eukaryota; Viridiplantae; Streptophyta; Magnoliopsida; Poales; Cyperaceae
Description: partial external transcribed spacer 1f
Source: RNAcentral